This 492-nucleotide ribosomal RNA is filed under the name uncultured bacterium. RNAcentral's name for it is "partial 16S ribosomal RNA". It matches the Rfam family "Bacterial small subunit ribosomal RNA", at positions 29 to 507 of the family's 1533-position model. The record is from RNAcentral.
AGUGAACGCUGGCGGUAGGCCUAACACAUGCGAGUCGAACGGCAGCACAGUAAGAGCUUGCUCUUACGGGUGGCGAGUGGCGGACGGGUGAGGAAUACAUCGGAAUCUACUUUUUCGUGGGGGAUAACGUAGGGAAACUUACGCUAAUACCGCAUACGACCUACGGGUGAAAGCAGGGGAUCUUCGGACCUUGCGCGAUUGAAUGAGCCGAUGUCGGAUUAGCUAGUUGGCGGGGUAAAGGCCCACCAAGGCGACGAUCCGUAGCUGGUCUGAGAGGAUGAUCAGCCACACUGGAACUGAGACACGGUCCAGACUCCUACGGGAGGCAGCAGUGGGGAAUAUUGGACAAUGGGCGCAAGCCUGAUCCAGCCAUACUGCGUGGGUGAAGAAGGCCUUCGGGUUGUAAAGCCCUUUUGUUGGGAAAGAAAAGCAGCAGGUUAAUACCCCGCUGUUCUGACGGUACCCAAAGAAUAAGCACCGGCUAACUUCGUG